AUGUUUUUUUUUUUUACUUUUAUUGAUUUUAAUUCUUUGUAUUUGGGCUUUCGUUAUAGGCAGGAGGAUUAUGUUUCUGAAGACCUCUUGGAGCUGUCACAGAUUCAGCGGCACUUAAAGGUGAUACCCGUGUUCUGCGGCUGUGCUGCCGUGCUGACGGAUAGGGAAGAGGAACAGAGAUGACCUGUCUGCAGAGAUGAUACAGCAGAACAGCAGAACUACUUUCAUACGAUCAAUACAGGUAAAUAGCAAAAAAAUGUAAAAUCAGUAUAAUAUUAGCUGUUUAUCUUAAGUUAACUAAGUUCUUUCGACAAGUUGCACAAAUGAUCCACACUGUUAAAAUACGAUGUUAGACUCGUUCUUAAUAUCAGACCUGUUUGUUCAAGCUUGUUAAAUUUAAAUGUCUUCUUUAGAUAUAAUACUCACCCUUUGUCAUUUUAUUUUAUUCACAUGAUCAUUAUGUAUUAUCCAGAUGAAUAUGUCAAGAAGUCAUUGAGCCUCAAGUUAGAUAAAUUAGUAUUUUGUCUGUAUUCCAAGUCCUUUUAUUAUUAUUUAAAGGCUCAUCCAUAUGCUGCAUAAUUACAGCCUUUUUUAAAAUAAACUCAUCACUGCAGUAAAUGCA
Molecule: long non-coding RNA, 622 nt
Organism: Cyprinus carpio (common carp)
Lineage: Eukaryota; Metazoa; Chordata; Actinopteri; Cypriniformes; Cyprinidae
Source: Ensembl